This 229-nucleotide ribosomal RNA is filed under the name uncultured bacterium. Its description in RNAcentral is "partial 16S ribosomal RNA". It matches the Rfam family "Bacterial small subunit ribosomal RNA", at positions 91 to 334 of the family's 1533-position model. The record is from RNAcentral.
UAAAGUGGCGUACGGGUGAGUAACACGUGGAUUAUCUACCUCUUAGUGGGGAAUAACCCUGGGAAACCGGAGCUAAUACCGCAUAAGCCUGGAAAGGGAAAGCAGCAAUGCGCUGAGAGAGGAGUCCGCGGCCGAUUAGCUAGUUGGCAGGGUAAAAGCCUACCAAGGCUAUGAUCGGUAGCCGGCCUGAGAGGGCACACGGCCACACUGGCACUGAAACACGGGCCAG